UGCUCUGCAGCGGUGUAGGUCAGGGGGGAACUCUGCGAUGCUCUGCAGCAGUGUAGGUCAGGGGGAGCUCUGUGAUGCUCUGCAGCAGUGUAGGUCAGGGGGGAGCUCUGCGAUGCUCUGCAGCAGUGUAGGUUAGGGGGGAGCUCUGCGAUGCUCUGCAGCAGUGUAGGUCAGGGGGAGCUCUGCGAUGCUCUGCAGAAGUGUAGGUCAGGGGGGAGCUCUGUGAUGCUCUGCAGCAGUGUAGGUUAGGGGGGAGCUCUGCGAUGCUCUGCAGCGGUGUAGGUCAGGGGGGAGAUGUGUGAUGCUCUGUAAGGUUCCUGUUAUAAGGUUUGGGAAGGCCCUGCUUUUAGCACUGACGUCUCUAAUGUUCCCUAUUAAGAAGAUGAAA
Molecule: long non-coding RNA, 388 nt
Organism: Spea bombifrons (plains spadefoot toad)
Lineage: Eukaryota; Metazoa; Chordata; Amphibia; Anura; Pelobatidae
Exons: 2
Source: RefSeq, a predicted model, not a curated record